RNAcentral lists this ribosomal RNA (465 nucleotides) under uncultured bacterium. RNAcentral's name for it is "partial 16S ribosomal RNA". It matches the Rfam family "Bacterial small subunit ribosomal RNA", at positions 28 to 507 of the family's 1533-position model. The record is from RNAcentral.
GACGAACGCUGGCGGCGUGCUUAACACAUGCAAGUCGUACGGUAAGGCCCUUUCGGGGGUACACGAGUGGCGAACGGGUGAGUAACACGUACGUAACCUGCCCACAACUUUGGGAUAACGCUAGUAAACUGGUGCUAAUACUGGCUAUGUACUACUGCUGCAUGGUGGGGGUUGGAAAGCUCCGGCGGUUGUGGAUGGACUCGCGGCCUAUCAGCUUGUUGGUUGGGUAGUGGCCUACCAAGGCGGCGACGGGUAGCCGGCCUGGGAGGGUGGCCGGCCACAUUGGGACCGAGAGACGGCCCCGACUCCCACGGGAGGCAGGAGUGGGGAAUAUUGCACAAUGGGCGCAAGCCUGAUGCAGCAACGCCGCGUGCGGGAUGACGGCCUUCGGGUUGGAAACCGCCUUCAGCAGGGACGAAGCUUUGUGUGACGGUACCUGCAGAAGAAGCACCGGCUAACUACGUG